RNAcentral lists this unclassified non-coding RNA (237 nucleotides) under Hevea brasiliensis (rubber tree). The record is from RNAcentral. Lineage: Eukaryota; Viridiplantae; Streptophyta; Magnoliopsida; Malpighiales; Euphorbiaceae.
CUUGACCUGUCAAAGUUACGAGGCCUAUCGUUGCGCCUAUUUCUCUCAUUUGCCCUGGCAUUAUUCCUCAUCCAUUCUUCAUGGUACUUCGGAUCAUAGGGAACAGCUUUGCCAUCAAUAAAUGGUUCCCCCCCAUAAUCUUUGUUCUUAACAUCCAAAUAUGAAUCAGGAAGAACCCAACGAACCCUGGGCAAUUUUUUAAUCUCGUAAGAAAGCUCUUCAGACACGAGAGCUCCA